This 660-nucleotide unclassified non-coding RNA is filed under the name Hevea brasiliensis (rubber tree). Lineage: Eukaryota; Viridiplantae; Streptophyta; Magnoliopsida; Malpighiales; Euphorbiaceae. The record is from RNAcentral.
GUCGUAUGAAGUCCUGACCAAGCGAUUUAUAGGUGAUGACAAUGGAGUUGUUAAAGGUCUUGAAGUUGUACGCGUCCGCUGGGCAAAAGACAGUAGUGGGAGAUUCCAGUUUGAGGAGAUCGAAGGGUCAGAGGAGUUGAUUGAAGCUGACUUGGUCCUCUUAGCUAUGGGGUUCCUCGGUCCCGAUCCAAAAAUUGCGGAGCGUCUCGGUCUGGAGCAGGACAGCCGAUCGAACUUUAAGGCAGAGUAUGGUCACUUUUCUACUAAUGUCAAUGGUGUUUUUGCUGCUGGAGACUGCCGUCGAGGACAGUCGUUGGUCGUGUGGGCCAUCAACGAGGGCAGACAAGCAGCAUCUCAGGUGGAUGUGUUCUUGAUGAAAGAUGAUGACGAUGAAGAUACUGCCACCUCCAACAGUGAGGAGGGCAGGCUCGCCAACCCUGAUAACAGACAAGCAGUAACUGCAUAGGGAGUCUUCUUCUUUACUUAGUUAUUAGGGUUAUUAGGGUCUGUGUCUGAGAUCGAAACAGGUGGCGAAUGAAGCUUUCUCAGCAGGGUUUUGCUACUUUUGAAAAACUGCAGUUGGUCUGCUGUUGCGCAUGCGACAAUGAUGGUGGUGUGCAUAUAGCUGAUGGCAUUCUCUAUUCUGGGGUGUUCCCAAGC